Molecule: ribosomal RNA, 468 nt
Filed under: uncultured Acidovorax sp.
Lineage: Bacteria; Pseudomonadati; Pseudomonadota; Betaproteobacteria; Burkholderiales; Comamonadaceae
Description: bacterial SSU rRNA
Rfam family: Bacterial small subunit ribosomal RNA
Source: RNAcentral
UUGACGGGACCGCACAAGCGGUGGAUGAUGUGGUUUAAUUCGAUGCAACGCGAAAACCUUACCACCUUUGACAUGUACGGAAUCCUUUAGAGAUAGAGGAGUGCUCGAAAGAGAGCCGUAACACAGGUGCUGCAUGGCUGUCGUCAGCUCGUGUCGUGAGAUGUUGGGUUAAGUCCCGCAACGAGCGCAACCCUUGUCAUUAGUUGCUACAUUCAGUUGGGCACUCUAAUGAGACUGCCGGUGACAAACCGGAGGAAGGUGGGGAUGACGUCAAGUCCUCAUGGCCCUUAUAGGUGGGGCUACACACGUCAUACAAUGGAUGGUACAAAGGGUCGCCAACCCGCGAGGGGGAGCCAAUCCCAUAAAGCCAUUCGUAGUCCGGAUCGCAGUCUGCAACUCGACUGCGUGAAGUCGGAAUCGCUAGUAAUCGUGGAUCAGAAUGUCACGGUGAAUACGUUCCCGGGUCUU